This 253-nucleotide ribosomal RNA is filed under the name uncultured bacterium. RNAcentral's name for it is "partial 16S ribosomal RNA". It matches the Rfam family "Bacterial small subunit ribosomal RNA", at positions 524 to 776 of the family's 1533-position model. The record is from RNAcentral.
UACGUAGGGGGCAAGCGUUGUUCGGAAUUACUGGGCGUAAAGGGCGCGUAGGCGGCACGGCAAGUCGGGAGUGAAAGGCCUGGGCUCAACCGAGGAACUGCUUUCGAGACUGCCGAGCUAGAGUGCGGAAGGGGCAACCGGAAUUCCCAGUGUAGCGGUGAAAUGCGUAGAUAUUGGGAAGAACACCUGAGGCGAAGGCGGGUUGCUGGGCCGACACUGACGCUGAGACGCGAAAGCGUGGGGAGCGAACAGG